RNAcentral lists this ribosomal RNA (483 nucleotides) under uncultured bacterium. RNAcentral's name for it is "bacterial SSU rRNA". It matches the Rfam family "Bacterial small subunit ribosomal RNA", at positions 328 to 803 of the family's 1533-position model. The record is from RNAcentral.
UAGCGGAACUCCUACGGGAGGCAGCAGUAGGGAAUCUUCCGCAAUGGGCGAAAGCCUGACGGAGCAACGCCGCGUGAGUGAUGAAGGGUUUCGGCUCGUAAAACUCUGUUAUUAGGGAAGAACAAACGUGUAAGUAACUGUGCACGUCUUGACGGUACCUAAUCAGAAAGCCACGGCUAACUACGUGCCAGCAGCCGCGGUAAUACGUAGGUGGCAAGCGUUAUCCGGAAUUAUUGGGCGUAAAGCGCGCGUAGGCGGUUUCUUAAGUCUGAUGUGAAAGCCCACGGCUCAACCGUGGAGGGUCAUUGGAAACUGGGAAACUUGAGUGCAGAAGAGGAAAGUGGAAUUCCAUGUGUAGCGGUGAAAUGCGCAGAGAUAUGGAGGAACACCAGUGGCGAAGGCGACUUUCUGGUCUGUAACUGACGCUGAUGUGCGAAAGCGUGGGGAUCAAACAGGAUUAGAAACCCUAGUAGUCCACUUAUG